UGGCUCAGUGGAUAGAGCAUUGGCCUGCAAACCCAAGGGUCCCAGGUUCGAUUCUGG
This 57-nucleotide transfer RNA is filed under the name Myotis brandtii (Brandt's bat). It matches the Rfam family "tRNA", at positions 8 to 63 of the family's 71-position model. From Rfam's summary of the family: Transfer RNA (tRNA) molecules are approximately 80 nucleotides in length. Their secondary structure includes four short double-helical elements and three loops (D, anti-codon, and T loops). Lineage: Eukaryota; Metazoa; Chordata; Mammalia; Chiroptera; Vespertilionidae. The record is from Rfam by way of RNAcentral.